UCUAUAAACUUCUGAUUUAGUCUUUCUCUAAGAAAUUAAAGAAGGACUUGCACCUCCUUGAGUUUCCUCCAGGUUCCAGCCUUCAUUGAGAAGAUCAUGCCUGAAAACAUUAGAACAUGCUUCCCUGGAGGCACUCUCACUAUAAUGCAGUCUCUUCCCUGCUCUUAGCUUCCACGUGCCUCAGAGUCCUUAUGCUGCCUGAUGGGAAAGCAGAAAGUGCCACACAAAUAGAAACAUGAGUGGGUAAAGCAGCUUCAUGAUUGACUUAGACAAAUCCCUAUUUAAUCUCUAAGCAAGGAAUGAAAGACAGUAAGUAACUGAGCAAAUGUAACAGAGAUUUGGAGCAAAUGUAACAGAGAUUUGGAGCAUGCCUUUCUUAAAAGCACUGACUCUUCACUUGGACCUACAGAUCUUACUAAGGUCUGCACGUAGACAUGUUAAUCAUUAAGGACUCUCUGUCUAAAUAGUGAUACUGAAGGAUUGAUUUGUCCUAAGUUUACCUCUCUCAUCCUCCACAAAGUCUGAAGAUAGCAAAAUAAGAGCAACUAAACUAUUCUCAAGAUUCCAGAAACAGUGAGUCUUGAAGGAAGAUCACCAUGAGACUGCCUUCCUGAACAGGAGCAAUCAUCUCACAUUGGAAACUGGAUCACCCCCCAAAGCAAUGAUGGCUUCCCCUGGAGAACCUCACGGAACCAGGGCUGAGGAACUGGGAGCAAAACUGCCACCAAUUCAUAGUGAUGCUGAAGGAUUAAAGGAGCAAGACAGUUUUUACAUCUGUAGGACACAAUAGAUGAAACGUAACAGCAGACAUCCCUGGAAUACCAACAGUUGACUCAGCAAGGAGGCCGUGGCCAGAUUCCUCCCCUCAAUCUUGGACUUCUCACCUCCAGAGCCAUGAGCCAAUAAACCUCUAUUCAUUGUA
Chinchilla lanigera (long-tailed chinchilla) is the source of this 922-nucleotide long non-coding RNA. RefSeq lists it as uncharacterized. NCBI's taxonomy places the organism in Eukaryota, Metazoa, Chordata, Mammalia, Rodentia, Chinchillidae. The transcript is spliced from 3 exons. The record is from RefSeq and is a predicted model, not a curated record.